Molecule: ribosomal RNA, 406 nt
Filed under: uncultured prokaryote
Description: bacterial SSU rRNA
Rfam family: Bacterial small subunit ribosomal RNA
Source: RNAcentral
UGGGGAAUAUUGCGCAAUGGGGGAAACCCUGACGCAGCAACGCCGCGUGAGUGAAGAAGGUUUUCGGAUCGUAAAGCUCUGUCAUUGGGGACGAAUAAAUGACGGUACCUGACUAAGAAGCCCCGGCUAACUACGUGCCAGCAGCCGCGGUAAUACGUAGGGGGCAAGCGUUAUCCGGAUUUACUGGGUGUAAAGGGAGCGUAGGCGGCAAGACAAGUCUGAUGUGAAAGCCCGGGGCUCAACCCCGGGACUGCAUUGGAAACUGUUUAGCUAGAGUGUCGGAGAGGUAAGUGGAAUUCCUAGUGUAGCGGUGAAAUGCGUAGAUAUUAGGAGGAACAUCAGUGGCGAAGGCGACUUACUGGACGAUAACUGACGCUGAGGCUCGAAAGCGUGGGGAGCAAACAGG